ACUGUGCUUUCAGUCGUUGGUACGGGAAUGUGGAUAAGUUUUCAAAUCCUUAGCGAAGAAGUAUCACGUUUUCUUCUGAGAGAGAGAGAGAGAAUUAGGUAUUUCUUCGUUGUUCGCUCUGAAUAAUUGCGCCGCGACCUCGAUUGAUUGCUUCUUCGCAGUCGAACAACUUUCGUCGGCGAAGGAACUGAAGGAUCUACAAAUCCAACCGCAACAGAAAUGUAUGCUCCUCCUUAUGAACAGCGGAUCUCCUACGUUACUUACGUCGAGCACGUCAAGAGACGCCAUGAGCACAGAGGCUGCCUCUAUGCCUGUGUAUUCGCACUUUGUUGCUGUUUCUGCUGUUUCGAGACUUGCGAGUGCUGUCUGGAGUCUGUUUGUUGUUGCUGCGAUUGAUUGAGCGAUCGAAUCCAUUACCGAUCGAUUGUUCAUGAAUGAAGAGGAGAUCGGAAAGAAAAGAAAUUGAAGUUCAAGAGAUGGAUGUAACGUGUUUGAUUCGAGUCGUUGUUCUAGUUCUAGUUAAUUUAUCCUCUGUUUGAAUGUUUUCAACUGGACGGAAGCGAGAUGCGAUUUCUUGGUUCGAUUAAAGAAAUUGUAUUAUAUAUUUAGUUGAGCUAAUUAAUCAUGACUAAUAUUUCCGGAUUUUUUGUUGUAAUGUAAUUUUUGUCUUUCUUU
This is a long non-coding RNA of Momordica charantia (bitter melon), 675 nucleotides long. RefSeq lists it as uncharacterized. The record is from RefSeq and is a predicted model, not a curated record. Lineage: Eukaryota; Viridiplantae; Streptophyta; Magnoliopsida; Cucurbitales; Cucurbitaceae.